UAUUGCACAAUGGGGGAAACCCUGAUGCAGCGACGCCGCGUGUAGGAAGACGGUCCUCUGGAUUGUAAACUACUGUCCCCAGGGACGAAGAUGACGGUACCUGGGGAGGAAGCUCCGGCUAACUACGUGCCAGCAGCCGCGGUAAUACGUAGGGAGCGAGCGUUGUCCGGAAUUACUGGGUGUAAAGGGAGCGUAGGCGGGGAUGCAAGUUGGGUGUUAAAUCUACCGGCUCAACUGGUAGUCGCACUCAAAACUGCAGCUCUUGAGUGAAGUAGAGGCAGGCGGAAUUCCUAGUGUAGCGGUGAAAUGCGUAGAUAUUAGGAGGAACACCAGUGGCGAAGGCGGCCUGCUGGGCUGUUGACUGACGCUGAGGCACGAAAGCGUGGGGAGCAAAUAGG
RNAcentral lists this ribosomal RNA (398 nucleotides) under uncultured bacterium. RNAcentral's name for it is "bacterial SSU rRNA". It matches the Rfam family "Bacterial small subunit ribosomal RNA", at positions 362 to 776 of the family's 1533-position model. The record is from RNAcentral.